AAGAAAAGCUGUAAUUUUGGUGAAUAGAAGUGAUAACAACUUAAAUUCUUUAAAGUAGAGACUAGAAACCGCGAGAUAAUCUUACAACACGAUCGAUGGUAAUACAGGCAUAUGUCAAUCAAUUUUUCCAAUUGGAUUGAGAAAUAAAAUGUCAGGAAAAACUGUAGAGCUAAACAAGCAAAAAGCCCCAACUUCCAACUCCGACGUAACCAUAAAGCUUAACAAGAAUUUUCCAAGAACCCAAAGAUUAAAUGACAACUAAGCGAAUCCCAAAACUGUUGUGUUUGAAUGACUGAUACAACUGCAAUUCGAUAAUGACAUCAUUUUGGAAUUGUAUAGUUUCAUCAUAGAAAGAAUUCAUAAGGUUGCCUAUGGGAAGGCUUGUGACACACUACCGAGAUGGAAGAAUAAAAGGCAUACCCCAAAUAUGAUUAGUCCUACUGAAAAAGUUAGUCCAAAUAUUUCAAUCAAAAACCUCAUAAACAUCACUUAUCAAGCAGCCUUAAACUAAAUACAGAACUGCUGGUCUAACAUUGAACUUAGAUAGGAUAAUUUUUGCAGUAAACCAAACAAAUUGAAGUUCAGAUAUUGUUAACUUGUCAACCCUUUAUGAUAUAGUUCUUGCCAAAAGCGCCAUCACAGUGUCAACUCUCAGAACAUUGAAAAACAAUAAAAUCUACCAGUUUCACUCAAAAAUGUUAGAAACAUGGUAAUGAAGGAAGUCUGGAUGCACAGUAUACCUUCCUGCAUAUCUACAAUGAGCUUUUGGUUUCAAAUUUUAAGUUUUAAAGAUAGGGGUUGUAGAGGAAGAGAUCUGCAACAAAACCAAGGAUAUACAGAUUCCAUUUCAAUUAGAAAAAUGGCAAAACACCAUUGAAUUAUAAGCACCAUUGCCGCAAACAUAUGACAAGGCAAAGCAUUCAGAAUUUACUCAAACAAAUAAGGUAAAGAAAAACAUACCAAUCACUGCUGCUGCUGAUUUUGUUGCUGGUUCUGAGGGUUGGGUGGAGGUGGCAUUCCAGGACGAGGGGGUCCAAACACAGGAACUUGACCACCAGGUGGAGGAGGCAUCCCAGGACGAUGCGGUGGUGGACCAGGCAUGCCGGGUCGAGGCGGAGGAGGUGGGCCCCUCAUCAUCUGCCCAGGCGGCGGAGGACCCAUCGGCCUCUGCCCAAACUGCAUCUGAGGUGGGCCCUGGAAUUGCAGAGGUGGGCCACCAGGCCUCGGAAACUGUGGAGGCGGCACACCAGGCGGUGGACCCCGCGCCAUCUGCGGUGGGCCCUGACCGGGAUAUCCAGGCAUCUGCCCAGGCGGACGAAUCACCGGAGCAGCCGGGUACGACAUAGGCGGCGCAGAGAGGUUCGGAACAGGAGGGCGUGAAAUCUGCGGCUGCAUCAUGCCGGGGGCGGGCCCACCCACGCCUCGAACCGGGCCGGAGAGACCGGGCUGUGCCUGGGCCAGUGGAGCAGUGGGGAUACCUCGACCGGCGGCCCGGCCCAAACCGGGGCCAGCCAAAGCGGCGGCGCUGGCGGCCUUGGCACGUGACUCUUCCUGAGGAGGUGGGCCCUCGACGGUCAUGGAGAUCACCUCUUCACCGCGGAGGAGGACGAGUCCUAGGGUUCGACGGUCGUCGCGUUCCUCGUUGCUCUUCUUGCCCUUCAAUGGCGGGAGCUUGCGAAACUCCUCGCAGUCGCCCAGGACGAGGUUCAUGUGGCGAUCGAAGGCCAUGAACUUGCCGACGAGCUGCCGACCGUCUUGGAUCGUCACUCGCAUUCGGUAGUUUAUGAAUUGCAGCAUCUUGGAGCUCUUCGACAUCGACAUUGUGAUGGGCUCUGCAGUCCUCCGCGCCCAAGGCUUGGGGGUUUUUGGACACUGAAGAAGAGACGAUUGAAAACCCUAGGGUUUUGGAUCGACGCAAAUCAAAUUCGGGAUUGUCUAAACUCUGUUCUAUUUUUUCACAUAAAUUUUUUUUUUUUAAAAAAAAACUAAAACUAAAUAGAUGUGCGUAUAUUAUAUUGGGCUCGAGAAUGAUUUGGGCUUGAUGACGCGUUGUGGGCUUAUUUUAGUAUGACGUGGAUGAUUGGGGGAUUCAAUUCAACUGAGCUUAGCUUGGAUUUAUAAACUUAAGGAAAGUUUUAAUCCAAUUAGGAAUUAUUUUAUUUCGUGUAUAUUUACUUACUUUGGUUGAAUUAUAACUUCUUCUUUUUCCGUUUUCAAUUUAAAAGACUUACUUCAUUGAAGAUAUAACGUGAGACAAGUGAAAAGCCGUUUUUCUACAUGAGUUUUAUGACUAAAAUCGUAUAUAAACAAGUCCGGUUUUUCUUUUGCUAAUCUACUUUUGGAUCUUUAACAAGUUGCUAAUCUAUUUAUCACUCUUUGAUGGUGUAACUGAUAAAUGAAUUGUCUAUAUAUCUGUAAUUUUUGCAAUUUUAAAUGAAGACUGGUGAACGAUUUGUCUGUAGUUGAACAAACUUUAAUUUGACCAUCAAAUUUGUCGCUCUACUUUAACCUCUCAUCUUCGUCAAACUUUAACUACGUUAUACACGUUUUAUGAUAUAACUUUGUCGUCCAAGUUUCCUACUAUUGUUUUUCCUUUUAAACAAAUGUAUUUAUAAGUUUUAGUGGCAUAAAUUCCGUAAAACCAUAACACUUGUGUCAUAUACCGUUCAAUUAUCUUUCAAAUUUGUAAUGAAUACAUGCAUUUUCUUGGUAUAUUUUCAUAAAAUUAGGAAAGGAUAUUUCUUUCGUUAACAAAUUUCAAUCUCCUUAUUGGUUUUUUCGCUCAACUUUAAUUUAAUUAUUCUUAUCUAUUUAUUCAUUUAUUAAAUUAUCUAGAAUAUUCAGUCACAUGAAAAGAAAUACACGUUUCAUAAGCCGUUUCGAUUAGCUUUCAAUUUCUAUAACGUUCACUCUCCGUAAUUUCAUGUGUAACCGAUGAACGAAUUAUCUAUACAUACGUAGUUUAUACAACUCCACGUAAAAACCAUUGAACCAUUUGUCUGUAGUUGAACAAACUUUUGAUUCGACCAUCAAUUUUGGUGCCCAAUUUUAACUUCUCAUCGGUUUCUUCGCUACACUUUAACAAUGUUAUACGUUUGAUUUAUGAUCUAACUUUACCCUCCAAGUUUCUUACUAUUGUUUUUUGUUUUCAAAAUAUAUUUACAAGUUUGAGUCUGGGAUAAAAUUCAAUAACAUCAUAAGACCUGUGUCAUAUACCGUUCGAUUAUCUUUUAAUUUUUUUAAUUAAUACAUGCAUUUUCUUGGUACAUUUACAUAAAAUUACAGAAUGAUUCUUCUUUAGUUCAACAAAUUUUAAUAUUCUCAUUGGUUGUAUUCCACAACUUUUAUUUCACCGUAAUUUUAUAUUUAUCAUUUUUAUACUUAAAUUAGGUUGAAAUAUUCGGUCACGUGAAAUGUGAUGAAAAGAAAUACAAGUUGCAAAGCCGUUUUGAUUAGCUUUCAAUUUUUCUAAAUUUUUUAUGCCAUCUCCGUGAUUUCAAAUAUAACUGACGAUCGAUUUGUCUAUACAUCAACAAUUUCUGCAAUUUCACAUAAAAACCAGGGAAGGAUUUGUCUUUAGUUGAACAAACUUUGAUUCCACCAUUGUCUCUAUGGGCCAAGUUUUCUAUAAAUACCUCUCUAACCUCCUCAUGUUCAAAUACAUGAAGUAACUCGUAUACUGAUCAUAUUUUCUUCCUUUGGGCAUGGUUACCACGUCAGCACUUGAGAGUCAGUUUUGGGGUUUUAGUGGGAGGAAGAUGAGGGGAAAGAGAGGGAGGGGAAAACAAAAAGAGAAAGGAAAACUUGAGAGAGUCAGCCGAAGAAACUUAUUCGGUUGUAGAAAUGUGUGGCAUGGGAGAAAUCGGGGCAAGAGGAAUGCUCUGCCAUUGCAGAGCAUGUAAGGAGCUGUGACCUCCUCCAUUGGACUCAAGGUAAACAUUUAUUUCCUUAUUAGAUGUUUUCUUCUGCUAAAAUGGAAGUUGAUCUUUUUAGUUUGCUAGAGAAAUAAGCACAUCCUCACGAGUUUUCAUUGUGCAGUGAGAAAGAAAGUGGGAUGGUUGGAUUUGGAGUCUCGUAAAUUUCAUUGAAAAAUUUGUAUCAUAUAAAGAUGAUGAAUACAAACUACACUACUUUCCAUUACUACUCCUACAUAUGAACCACUAACAUGACACUCCCCCUCUCCUUCCUCAGCUGCAGGUCCACAGCCAGCUCGGGCCCUAAGAUUUAACCCGAGAAGGAAGGAUCGAUCCGCUGUGUCAUGUCUGGAUCGAGGCCAGUCGCUUCAAAAACAAGUUGAAGUUAUGGUCCCGAUCCAACAUGCUCACGCGGACAUACUUUGGACCAACUCCAAAGCUCCUUCCUCCUCGGGUUAAAAUCUUAUGACCUCUGAGUAAGCUUUCGCAAUCUUCCACGCCUUCGUCUUCACAUUUGAGCCAUGCGAAAGCUGCAACAGAGGUAAACAGCAAUGUCAAUUUCAACUGCUUCAAAUGCGUUACAUAGAUAGUUAUAUAAGUGGCAACUCUUAAUUAAUGGUUCGGUGAAUUUUUGCUUACCAGGUUGAGGCUGCGAGACCUGGUUGAGGAACUGGCAGAACCCUUGCUGGAAGUCAGGCAGACUAAAAAAUCUGCCCUUGUUCACCGCCUCUCUAAGAAGCUGCCACCUCUCUGCCAUGAAGUGAUAGCUGAUCUUAAAGAAAGAUUCACCGGACUCCGGCCCGCCAGGGUUUUGGGAGGAGUUGAUGAUCACCUCCAAAAUCCUAGCUGCUCGGAGCUGCGAAUCCCGGGACACGCCUAUGGUGCUGAGCUCUAUGAACUUGAUCAUCUUUUUGGCAACUUCUGGAUCUUUGACAAGAGCCCAGCUGCAACACGGAAGGAGAAAGUAUCAAAUGAGUGCUCAAAACAAAAGACCAGAACAUGUAAAAGAAAUUAACAAAGCUCGGAGAGCUUACCCAAUGCGUGUCCCGGCAUGCCCGGUGGCUUUCGAGACGGUGAACAGAGUCAGAUCAUGGUCAGCUGCCGACGAAAUGGGGGUAUAUUGUGGCCAGUAGUAGGCCAAGUCAUGAACCAAUAUACCUCCAGUUCGGUUGACCAUGGAGUGCCUGACAAAUCCAUCAGGGUUGUUGGGGGAGGUCACUAGCUCUAUGUACGGCCCCUCUUUGUCGAAGCUCCGGGCAUCCCCUGCCCAUUUGUACAAGCCCGACUUGAGGUAGUCAGUCAUAGAGGGGUAAGACUGCAAAGAGAUCAUCAAAAACAAAAACCCACUGUUAAUCAAUGUAUCUCAGAAAAGUUUACAAAGCUAGCAGCAAAUAAAAAUUCAAUGCAUUUUUUUACUUAUUUCAACUGUUAUGUCAUGUCACGCAUGAUAAUUUCUACACGUAAUAUUCUGUAAUUAAUUAAAAUAACAAAAUAAUGCUAUUCUCUUUUUAUAUAAAUUUUUCUGGUCCAAUUAGGCCACAUGCAUGAACAGGGAGGGGGGCAAAAGAUGAAGUGGGAGAAAAAAAUAAUUGAGAUUGCAAAAUCAAGUUUCAGAGUCAAGGCAGGCGAAUUAAAUGACAAAUUAUUAAAUGAUUUUUCCCUUGUUCUUCUGGGGGUAAAGGAUACUGUUUCGCACAAAUAUCUUACUUAUGGCAAGCAAAUUUUUUAGGGUCAUGCUAGGGAGACCAACUUUAGAUACCAACUUGUGUACCAACUCUCUAAUAGAGGUGGAGCCCACCAAUACAAUGGGUCCCACACUCUAUUAGAGAGUUGGUACACAAGUUGGUAUCUAAAGUUGGUCUCCCUAGCAUUUUCCAAUUUUUUAAUUGAAGUGGGCGCCAUUAACAAAAAGCAAGUCCACCAUGCAAAGUGAUCACAUUAAAAAAAGUUAAUUAUAAUAAUAAUAAAAUUACUGAUGCAUUUGACUUUGCUUGGAUUUGCUGGAAAGUAACAAGUACAUUAGUGACAUUCUUCAGCAAAUAAACAAAUCAAACUUCAAACACAAUUUUUUUAAAAAUAAAAUAAAACUCACAGAGUAGAAUGGGGCUGCAGAAAUCACACUUAUAGGCUCAGAUGCAUCUUUUGGAGCCAGAGCAUAGAGGGCAGCUAAGAAGAGCUGUGAUGAGCCUGUGCCAACCACAAUUUGACGACCUUCUGUGACAGCAUUGCCCACCAGAUUGUGCAGCCUCACAACCUGCUUGGCAAACUCUGGCUCCAAAAACCAGCAAGGGUUUUUCACAUCUGAGAAAUAGCUCAUUGACUGCCAUCCAGGGAUCACAACUGUGGUCUUUUCACCCAUCUGCUGCCAGUAACUUUCAUACAUAGUUGGGUCUCCACUGCAUUAAAAAAAAAACAAGUUACAUGUUAAACAAAUGGUCGAAGGAAGAUGUAUGAUUCUUUGAAAGCUUUCAAAAGGGUAAGAAAAAACUAAAGCAAUUCUGAGAAAAAAGUGAAGGUGAAACGAAAAAAAAUGAAAACUGUCACAGCAAGGAGAUUCUAAAAUGCAUGGAGCCAUGGAGGUAGAUAUGGAGGAGGAGGAAAAUGGUGGGGGGAAGGGGUGGGACCCCAUCCAUCAACAGAUCAAUGAUUAGAUGGAUGCAUAUCUAACAUCAGAUCAGUCCUGAGUAUGUGUCAAUUGGUAGAAAGAAACCUAAGAACGUGAGAAGGGUUAAAUCUUUAGAGGACCCCACAAGAGUGGUAGAUCCAGACAAUCUCAAUACGGGACUCGGAAUAAAAAAGGCCAUAAAAAGCUAAUUUACAACUUGGGCGGCCAAAAGGUUAAAAGAUCUGGGGCAACCCACGGCGCACUUCAGUCUUUUUACACUUCCCCAAAGCCAAAAAAGAAGAAAAAAACAUGCACAUAGGGGUCUUCAACUUUAGCAACUUUACUGUAAAUCUAGUUUAAUUUAAUAUAAUUUUCUUUUUAGCAGUUUGAGGUCCACAAAUUUGUGUGACAUAAUGAUGUUGGUCAAAUGUCAAAUAGCACCACCCACGGUGCACGUUAGACUCAGUUGCUGGAGAACAGGAACCAAACAAAAAAACAGACAUCAAGUACAAAAGGGUUGCCCAACUCUAACAUGCACCAUGGAAAAUCUCAACCAAAAAAAUAUGGCCUCCUCUGCCUCUGGGGCCUGCCUUUCUAUGUCCUAGCUAGUAGCUAAAGCCAUAGCCAGCACAGUAAACAGUGAACAAAUUAAGCUGAAAAUGCAGAAAGAAAAGCAAGAAAUAUUUUAGUGAAGGAAAAAAAAAAACUUCUACUCUUUGAGGUCUUUUUUUAAAAUAUCACUGACGUCAACUGGUUUCUGACACUUUAGAUUUGAUAUGCCAUCACUAAUUGCCUGACACUUACCACGCCAUGCCUUUUCUUUUUUUUUUUGGCAUUUAUAAAAGGACAAUUUUACCCCUGACUUUGAACUAUUCACUUUGACCAAAACUUGGAAUGUGCUCAAAGAAAAUCUUAAUGGCUCAACAUUUUAACCCAAAUAAACAGCCUGAAAUCUGACAACUCAAUGGAGGUUAGUGAAGCUUGAAGCAAUCUCAGUGGAGGUGUUGGAUGAUUAUAAUUGAAAAGGACCAAAAGAAAAGAACAAGUCUUUGCACACUUACUGGUCGAGGUUGAUGAGUUUCUCCCCGUCAUCUUGACCAGAAGAAGACAAUGACACAAGGGUCCUCUGGGUUGCGUGAGCUGCCUUCUCAAGCGCCCUGUCAGCCUUCUGCGCAGAGAACCCACGAGGGCCAUGCUUCUCGCCCUCAUAAAAAACCCUCAUAAUCAAGCUCAGAUUAAGAGCCAGAGACAGAACAAGCAAGUUUCUCAUUGUGCAAAUGCUCAUAAAAUUGGCCAUUCUUUUCUUUUCUUUUUUUGGUUUGAAAACAAGAACGAAAAGGAAACAAAGUAUUGAAAACAGAGUGCUGAAGAGAACAGAGUAUUGAAAACAGAGCGCUGAAGAGAAGAGAGUAUUGAAAACAGAGUGCUGAAGAGAAGAGAGUGAGCUCAAGUGUGCUUAGUGCUUGCUUCAGUGAGUGAAUGUGAGGAACUCAAACACUCGAGGCCGGUUUUAUAGCAAAACCCAGAAGAUGAAACCAAAGUUCAUGUGACAGAUGGACGGUAAAGAGGCGAGUUUAACGCAUACAAUCCCGGAUUGUCUGGCUUACGGUUCAAAUUGACUGAAACCGAUAAAUUCAAACCUGACAAAAAGCUUUGAAACUGUUGGUUGGCAGAAAGAUAAAAAUAAAUGAGACGGUUUUGAAGAUUUGGAAGGACUCUCAGAACUCUCAGAUUCCCGGGGUUUCUAGAGCUCUGUUCCUAACUUUCAUGAAAUUCAAAGCUCUGUUUUGGGAUUGAGAGGAACGCCAAAAUGAAAAUGAAGCAAAAUUGAUGAAGUUGGGUAGGUGUCAAAAUGCUAAGGGAAGGUACAGAGCACACUUGAAAAUACUUCCGCCCGGAGAUUUUCUCAGGAAACAAAAAAAUCCCAAUACGAUUUUCCAAGAAAAUCGCGGCUUUCCGACGCUAGAUCUCGAAAAGAAUAAAAACCUAAUAAGAGUAGUAUAUAUAAACAUAUGGCAGGUAUAUAGAUGCACGGAUUACUACAUGCUCUGUCUCCAUCUUCCGUUUGCCUUUUGGCCCUGUUUUCUAUUUCCUAUUUUUAUUUAUAUAUUUUUAAAUUUGAUGCUUUUGAUUCUAUUUUAGUUAAUAAAAAUGGUGUUUUUGAGUUGUAAACAAUUUGGAGUUUUGAUUUGGACUGGGAACGAGAGGAGGAAGAGAUAGUGACUACUCAGAGACACAGGAAAUUUGGUAACACUUUUGUCCAUUUGGGUUUUUGGCUAAUCUCCAUUUGAAAGUGAAACUUUCUGUUUGCGUGCUUCUUUUUCUUCUUGUUUUUUGUUGGUUAGGUUUUAUCUUCUUAAAUGGGGUGCUGUGUUUGUAUCUAUUGAUCUUGUGUCUCUAACCCUAUGUUUCAUUAAAAAAAAAAAGUUUAGGCUCUAAUUAAAAUUUGGUAGCUCUAUGUGUCAAUGAACAGAUUGCAUAAACUAUGAUUAGUUAUCAGUUAAGACUCUUUUAUUAGGGUAUUAUAUAGCAUACCCUUACUAAAACAUUAUUGUACUCCCAAAAUUUAUACUAUAAAGAGAAUUUUCUAUGCUCAUGUCCAUCGUUUUUCACGAAACAUGAAAAGAAAAAGUUAUCUUAUGGUCGUAUUAUGUUUAUAAUCAUUGAUGUAUUCUAAAUCUAACAAAAAAUUAUUAGUCGUCAUUGAUGAUGUAUAUGUGCGUGGUGGUUAAUAACGAUUUUUAACCGUUUAUUUGUCUAUACCUAAUUUAUAAACGACAACAAUAUAACGCAAUCUUUAGCGUUAACGGUUUUAUUCAGGUUUGGUCACGACAUUAUCUAUAACGGACUAUAGCAAAUCCUAACGAUUUUCUCUGUAUACGACCACAUUAUAUAAAUAAAAAUUACAACAUAAUGUAUUUGGCCCUUUUUUUGGGUAAUGAAUCAUAACCGAUUUAUAGAUGUUUGUUCGGUCGUAUUUUGUUUUCUAAUCAUUGAUGUAUUCAAAAUCUAACAAAAAAUUAUUAUUCGUCAAUGAUGAUGUAUUUGCGUGGCGGCUAACAACGAUUUUUAAUUGUUUAUUUGUCUACACCUAAUUCAUAAACGACAACAAUAUAACGCAGUUAUUAGUGUUAACGGUUUUAAGUUUGGUCACAACAUUGUCUAUAAAGGACUAUAGCAAAUCCUAACUGUUUUCUUUUUUGUCUCUACAACCAAAUUAUAUAAAUAAAAUUUACAAUCGAAUGUAUUUGGCCUCUUUUUUUUUUUUUUGUUUGGUAAUGAAUCAUAACUGAUUUUUAGAUGUUUGUUUGUACGUCAAAAGUAUCUGCAAAACCUCACGACAUGCUUACAACUCAAAUUCAAAAUGAACACGAAUUGAAAUCAAACAAUCUUGUUAAAUUAUUAAAUAUUUUUUUUGGUCAGAUUUCAUGGAAUAUGACGUUGCAAUAGAAAUUGGAAGUUAUGAUGGCCGACAAUUGACUAAGAAAAACUAAACAAUACACAAACCCACCUGAAAAUAGAUUAGAAGAAAAAUGCAUAAACAAGCUCAUAAGAAGAAUAGUACCAAACUGACCAAGUUUGCAAGAAAUUGACACAAACUCAUCUGAAAAAUAGAUUGGAAGAAAAAUGCAUAAACAAGCUUAUAAGAAGAAAGAUUGGAUAAACAAGCAUAGAAGAAAAAUAAUACCAAACUGAAAAGGAAAGAAAAAAGAAAAGAAAAAAAAGACACAAACUCACCUGAAAGUUGGUUGACCAAACUUUGCGCAAUGGCGUCACACAUGAAUCAUGAUUAUUAUGGCAAGAGAAACUCAAUAAGGAAAUGACAUGAACUCACUUGAAGAAAAUAGCUUUGAAGAAGAAGCCAAAAAAAAAAAAAAAAGAACAAAAUUUUGCUAGAAAAUAGCAUGAUGUCGCCUGAAAAUUGCUUGACCAGGCAAUGGUAUUAUUAGAAAGUAAUAAUUAAGAGUAAUUUUUGGAUGAGAUAUUGAUUGUGAUAGAGUGGUCCUAACAUAAAUCUUAAUUUCCACGGUAGAAAUAAACACUAAAAUCAUAUGGAAUGCGACAUUCAUGUCAUUUUCAUUACAGGUAAAUAAACAUGUCAUUUUAAAAAGUCCAUAAAUUGAAGAAUAAAAAAGAGAGAUUUCCUUAUGGCUCUAAAAGUUAAACUUUAUGAAGUAGUAUAGUGGAUUAAAGUCUUAAUGAUUACAUGGGAAAAAAGACGGUUACAAAAUCGUUAGGAAGCCGAUGAACUUGAAAGGAAUGCACAAGACCUAACCCACUGGUGACAUGACUGCCCCAGGAAUACGAUGUCGUAUUAGUAAAGUACUGUGAGCACAUGCGCACACUAUUAUUAGUGUUUAAGGUCUCCCACUAAGGCACUGGCAUGGCAUGGCAUGGCACCACUUGCAUUAACAAAGUUUAAGAAAGCUAAAGCUUUCGUGGGUGUUUCUCUCAGUUGAAAUAGCACUCAAACGAAGUGAUAUCCUUACCACUUUGGCCGAUGAAGAAUUUGGUUACGAGACUGGUUGUAGAAGGCAGAUCAAACAAAUUUUAUAUGUUGGUUUUGGACAGAGUGGAUGAAAACGAGAUGGAAGGGAUGAGACACGUAUACUCCUAGAGCUCUCUCUCUCUCUCUCUCUCUCUCUCUCCCCUCUGCUUAUUAUUUGUAGGGUCCACAAAAUCAGCAAUGCGAAUAAUGAAUUAAUAAAUAGGAAGACUUGGGGACCUUGAAACCCUGGACCAUAAUGUUAAUGUUAUUGAGAGCUCAGUCAUGGUAAUCUAAUCUCCCCCCAAAGCAAUGAAUAAAAGAUUGGAAAACAAAACCCUCCUCUCCUAGUUCACAUGCUUUGAUUGAUGGCUCAGCAGCCCUCUCACCCUGAUGCAAUUCAAGUCUGGUCACUUUCUGCCCCUACCAAAAGUGGUCCAUCUAGCAAUCAAAACCUCUCCAUUCUCAAAGCUGCACUCAUUAAGGAGAUGGUCCUUCUUAAAGACAGAAAAUAUAUUCAUAAUUUCUAACCGAAAUGGUCCUUUAACUUAGGUCCGUGUUUCAUUUUGAUCUUUUAACUAAUUUUUCCACACAAAUGGUCUUUCAACUCUCUCUUUUGUGAGACCAAUUUGACACUAAAAAGCGAAUUAGAAGAACAUUGACUUGAAAAAAUUAGUAGGGGAACCAAAGUCGUAAUCAUUUCGGUCGAAAAGAUAAAAAGAUACUGCAUAUGUUAAACCAGUCGAGUCGUUAACCUUCAUCUCAUAGCAGCAAACUGUUAAAACUGAUGGCCAAAACUCAAAAGUAAAGUUUUAAGGGACGGCAGGGCAUAUCUGUCACCUGCAAACCAACUAUCACGCCCCUAAAGUCUGCAUAGCUCUGUGAUGUAAAAAGCUGAAGCUGUCACUUGUUUCAACGCUUCAAAGUGUUCCUUUCCAGUUGAGGUCCAUCAGUUUUGUCCCCAAGCUACAUCUAGCCCAGGAUAGAAAAUUCAAACACCGAGUGUCCUUGCCAAAACCAAUUAUUAUAAAUAGGAAAAAAGUCACUUUUAUUUUCGGUAGUUUGUCAGUUUUAUUAAUUUGGUCCCUAUCGUUUUAAUUUAAUUAAUUUUAUUCAUGUGAUUUUAAUUUAAAGUAAUUCAAGUAUAAUUCUCAAUUUCUGUCAUCUUUUUUCUAAAACUUCUGUUAGUUAUAGAGGGGCAAUUCGGUCCACAAAUUAUUAUUCUCUUUAAAAAUAAUUUUAAAAAUAAUUUAAAUAACCAGCCAUCCCCACAAACUAUCGUCUACCGACCACCAUCGAGCCACCGCCACCAUCCAUAAACUUUCUUCUCCGACCAAACAAAAGGGAAAAUUCCCUCAUCUCGCUUCCAAAUUUUUUAUCAAGGCACCCAUGCCUCCUCUUUCGCGAGUUCAUAGCUUUGCCGACCAAACCCCUUGUUGUGAGUUCAUAGACUGAGAUAGAGAGUGACAGAUACAUACAAAGACAGAGAAAGAGAGAGGAGAUUCACAGAGAGACAGCCAAACCCCAGCCUCGACAUAAAUGACCUCCACCUUCCGCACUCGCCUAGCCCCACCCCUUCACCCAGAAAAUAUAAAACCCAACCCCACCCUUUCACCCGCGCACCGCGCCCAGCCCCAGCCCUAACCAACCUCCCUCUCUCCAAAUCCGACGAGCCCCACACUAGAUUGCCAAGGCCACACCACCGUCUUCGUCAAGGCCACGCCAUAGUCUUUGUCGUCAAGUUCUUCGACUGCCGCAACCCACAGAUCCAUCCCAACCAAGUCUAGAUGAGAGAGAGAGAGAGAGAGAGAGCUCUUUUUUUUUUUUUUUUUUUUCAAUUUUAAGAUUAUUAUUUUUCAAAUGAAUGACUUUUUAAUUUUUUUUACCAAAUUACCCCUCCACAACAAACAGAAAGUUAAAAAAACUAACAGAGAAUUGCCCUUGAAUUACAUUGUCCUAUAACUUCAAAUUGAAACUAGAUGGACAAAAUUGGCAAAAUUGAAACAUGGACCAAGUUGUAAAAGUGACAAACUACAGGGACCAAAAGUAACUUUUUGCCCUAUAAAUAACAUCUAGAUAUGGCAACUAUCAUGUCUUAUAAUAUUUCGUUCAAGGGCAUAGAAAAUUUAAACAAGUAUUGAUCCGUUUGGUGAAAGCUAGUAAUUUACAUUCACACGAAACACACAACAAAUUUCAAGUCACCAGUCACUUUAUAUUUACACACUAUUUACAUGAAUAAAUAAAGAAAAGGAAAGCGAGGUAAUUAUACAUUGACCCAGAUCUAGAAGCACAUUGCAAAACAAGAGAGUAAAUAAGAAAAAGAAGAAUUAAAAUAAAAACAUAUAAUUAAAUGUACCUCAUAAAUCAUAUCAACAACAUCAGCAUAUUACUGGCCAAAUCCACCACUUUUGGGUUGAACUUCUCCAUUGUUCAUCAGCUUAUCCAGCACAACAUUAAUGUCCACUGAUUGCCCAUUCUCAGUCAUUUUCUUCACUGUUGCUCUGACUAUGUCCCUUCGGAAUCCCAUUGUUACAACCUCAUCAAUGACAUUAUCAAUUGGUAUUCUGUUUCCAGUCACACCAGAACUUGACUCCUUAUCCAUACUCGAGGCCAUAGGUAUUGCAUAUGGCAACACCUGGGCAGUUGGCAGUCUCGAAAUGCUGCUUCCACCAGAACGGUCUAAAGAGGCUGGCAAGAUUUGUGAGUGUUUCGUUUUUGAACCGCUGUUGUGAGAUGGAGAUCCUUCAUGGGAAUAAAAAUCAUCAUAAGUUGAAUGUUGAACUGGUUGCAUAUGCCCAGCAAAUAAAUCUGAACAAUGAUUUCUUGUGGAUUGAUCAUGCGUAUACUGGGAAGAACCCAUGUACUGUUGUUGGGUUGGGAGAGCCAUGCCAGUUGCAUUAGAGGGUUUAUGCAUGCUUGGAGGAUAUCUUUGAGAUAACAUGUAGGGGAUUUCUCCAGGAUUAUGAACCAAUGAAGACUGGGCUUGUGGAUCAACUGCACUGAGAGGCGGGUGCAAUUCAGGUAGCCGUUGUAAUUGUGAGGUUGAUGAAAGAUGUGGUGCUGGUGGAUAAUAUUGAUAUGGUGCUGUGGGUGGUGGUUGUGACUGCUGAACUUGAGGCAUAUAGUACAUCUGAGGUGCGGGUUUUGGAUUCAAGACAGGUGGCAAGUAGUUAGAAUCUGUCUGUUGAACAGAAGGGAUUUGAUUCUGAGGUGAGUGAGUAUGAACUUGUGUUGCAGGUGCUGGUGGCAAAUUCUGAUGGGGUUGGGUUGGGGGAACAUUAGGAGGAAAAGAAGAAAGUUGUAGACAAGCAACAGGAGUUGAAUGUGGUUGGUGGCUUUGUUGAGGGGCAGAUGACAAAACUCCCUGAGUUGAAAUUGUUUGUACAUUGCUCCUUUGGUUUUCCAAUUGCUGGUGACCCUUUAACAUUUGAAGAGUUGCAAGCUGCAGCUUAGCCUCUGAUAUCUCUUGUUUAUCUUUCAAAUCCUGCAUACCACCUUCAACCUGCAAUUUAUUUACAAACAACAUGAACCAUAUCAAGAAGCUGCUGGCAGGAAUCGCAGAAUCUCCUGUACACCACUAUUACUUGUUUUUUUUUUUCCAGCUUACAACAACGCUUAAACCUAGUUUUCACCUGCUUCAACAUGAUUGUAUUAUUUAACCCAUUGUGCUAACAGGACAUCUUCAACAUUUCUCUCAUAGUUCAAAAGGGACAUUACUCAAAUUAAAAAUCAGACGACUAGUUAGACACUAGGUUCAACUUUGGUGCUCAGCAAAGAUGAUCAUUUACAAUAUUGUGAAUGUUACUGUGUUAUACUAGUAGAAGUUAUGGCAUGCAAAAUCAGAUCAGAUAAAUUCCUGUGAAAAGCCUAUUUGACUAUAAACCUGUUAAAUAUGAGCUUCGAGCCAACAAAUUUUCUAUCAACUUAUCUGCCUCUAGCACCUAAUUUGUACAAUCAAAAUUAUCCAUCCUCUAAGUUUAGCACCAAUAAUGCAACCUAAUUGACUGGUUAAACGGGAAAUGUACGGUUUACAAUACCUGUCUUAGAAUAUUCUCAAGUUGUCUAAGUUUCCCAUCAUUCCUGCCAUGGUUAAUUUCAGUAGAAUCCUUCAAGUCGUCAACUGAGUUCUCUAGUCGGCGUAAGCGAGUCUCCAGUUGGGAAAGUCGCGCACUGAGACCCUCCACCGCAUGCAGCAUAUUGUCAAAAUGAUGGCUCAUCUUCUGACCAAUCACCGAGAUCAAUGCCGAGUCAUCAAAAGCCCCGGCAUACUUGCAACCCGAUUUUGCAAGGUCAAUGUGGUCCAUAGAACUGCAAUUCUGUGAGUCAUAAUAACAGAAGCAAUCACUUGAAAAUCUACAACAAUCAUGAGCAGGAAUCAACACAGUACACCCCAGCCGACAUUCAGUAGAUUGAGUUCUCUAUCUUCCUCACUUAAUUCAAUUUCAUUUAACAAUAAAUAAAGGGAAAAAAAACUUGAGCAUCUCUAUGCACACCCACAUAGACAUGAAUUAAGAAGAGUUAAAACAAAACUCAUCAGAAACUUUUGAUGCUACCAUUAUACCAAUUCCAGUUAGUGCCCAAAUUCUAUUCUACUAAACACAGAAAGAUUCAAACUUCAGAUAAAUAAUCCAUCAAUUCGAAAAUUUAGUUGAAGCUUGAAAUGCAUACCUCGAAAGUGGAAACGCGUGACUGCUGCGAGACGACAUGUCGCGUGGGGCGGAAGUGAAAGCUGGAAACUGAGUCGUCGUCCUUGUCCUCAUCGUCUCGGAGGUCACGAGGGUAUGAAAGUUGAGAUAAAUCGUCGGAGUGGGACCGAGAAAGUUCCAUGAUCUGCUUAUCCAUGAACUCCGACGACGUCAUGGCGCUCGGAGUUUCCUUUGCCCCUUUCCUGCACUUUGGCUCAUAUUUUCUGAGAUUCCAAACAGAGGAUUGUGCUGUGCGUUGGCCCAACGGAACUGUCAACGGGAAAAUUGACUAGCUGUUAAAAGAAGAGCCCCAGAGGUCGCUUGAUCAUGUUUGAUAAUAUCCUUUCCUUUUUCUUUUCGGGUUAGCAGGCCAAAAGAUGUGGGCUGGAUCAAUGGAAAGGUCAUCAAGACAUGCACAUUUGAAGCCCAACUAGGAAAAAUAUAAUGCUUAAUUAUUAUUUUUUUCACCAUUCGCUUCUAGGUAGGGGGAAGGAAGAGAGAAUAUUAUAGUGGGUUCACCCCACGUGCAUGCUUAAUUAGUUGUUAACUUUCUCUAUUGCUGGCUUCGUUGUUGUGAACUUUACUUUUGUGUCCUUACCUAAUUGAUUUUGAUCACUACCUCCAGCCCAAACACAAAUUAAUGAAUCAAGUUUUUCUUGAUGAGUUCAUUGACCCGUUUAAAUCAUAUGGUUUUAAGUUUGGGUUAUUAUCUUGCACGUCAUUCUUGUUUUACGAGUUUAUAUUGGAGUCGAAAAUAUUGAACACUUUGAUAUAAACUCGUAAAUCACAAAUGGGGUGCAAAAGAAUAACUUAAACUGCGCCUUCGUGCCAUAUGUAGCCGUUGUAAAAGCUAAGAGAGUUAUGACCAUCAAUGGCAAGAAUAAGAAGCAAAAAGAAAGUGAGUGGAGAAGGAGAACAAGUAAUCGGAGAAGAAGCAGAAAAAUUGGAAGACGUAGGAAAGCCUCUGACCACGUUCAACAUGCAGAACAAUUUAGCUGAGGUUUCUUGACAUUUGACUUACAAUUCAGUGAUCAUGUUUUCUACUUUCUUCUUUUGAAUUAUAAUAUAGUUGAAAAUAAUUCAGUAACAACUGCAGCCUUACGGCAGAUAGAACCCAAGCAAAACUUACUGCAAUAUUAUGAAAUCAUCGAUCCUAACACAUGACUAAAAUAAACUCCGCAUAUCUAUUAGGAAAAAACAAGGAACACAGUUGAUCACAUGGAUCAUCAUCAAAAAGAAAAGGAAAAAGAAAAAGAAAAAGAAAAAAAAGGUGCAAUACAUUACAUUGAUGAAAUCACAUGAAAAAUUAAUUUAAUUGUAAGAAACCAGCUAGCAGAGUCCAUUAAACUGGGGUACAACCCAGACUGCAGGCGGUAUAUACCCCUGCAAAUCAGAAUAAGGAUCUAAGGAGAAAUGUUGUGUGAUGGUUCCGCUCUCUAAAUUAAAAAUACCCAUAUCACGACAUGGCAUAUCGUCAUACAGCUUAUCGACUUGGAAAUUACCUUGGAAAUCGUGUCGGUGUGUAAUAUACGAAUAUGAGAAAUCAUGGGUGUAAUAUAUGGAAUUUGAUUGACAUCCAUGAAAAUCUGAAGUCAAAACAGAGACUGAAUGAUUGUCACCUAUGAAGAAGACAUCAUCUCCUAUGCUUUUUACAUGAACUUGUAAAACAGAUCCGUCUUUGUCGUCGAACACCGCCUUAUAAACCCUAAAGCUUUCAGUCAUAACAUUCUUGUAGGCCCCCUGCGUUCGUUUAUACACUCUUUCCAUAUGCAUUAAGUCUCCCUUGGUUGAUUCUACAAGAUAUCUUAUAGAUCUAUGAGCUCGGGCGUCUUCGAACAGAGGUGUAAGUGGAUUUAUUGGUAUUCGUGAACAAGCUUGGUUAUCAACAUCUAAUGACAUAAUAUCUCCCCGAUAUCCAACUAGGUAGACUUUGUUUUUGUAAGAUAUAACAUCAGAGACCGGACUUGGGGUCCUAAUCCAAGUCCAAUCUUUUUGGCUCUGACCUCUUUUCAUAUGGAUGGAUGCCACAAUAUGUCUAGCUUUACAUAACAGUGCCACAACCACAUAGUUAUCUAGACUCAAAGCAGGGUCAGCAGAGAAGAUGACCUUUUUCACAUUGAAUUCGUGGAAGUAUUUGUCACAUUUCUUGGGCAUGACAUCCAAGAGAGGGAGAAGAAUGGGCGAUGCCGGAUUUCUGAAAGGGUCCCGGAGUGCUAUAAUCGGACCUUGGUCUGUGACGGAUUCUAUUGUGGCAAACCAACCGUGGCUAGAGCCACAUGACCUCUUUUUAAAAGGCACUUCCAAUCCAAUAUUGUUGUAGAUUUUGCCUUCAGCAAUGCUGUAUAAUGCUUUUCGGUGGUUCGUUUUCGUUAGGAGGAGGCUAUUCUUGCCGCCGCCGCCGCCGCCUUGACAUUCAUAUUCAUUAGGGAUCAAGAGCAUGGGAAGUAGGUUGUUAUGCCGCCACCGCUGUGUUGCUUAAUUAUAGUCUUUUGCAAGAGAACGCCAUUGCUUGCAGACGGCAGCAAAAGAAACAUGGUCAAUGGGCUCAAACAAAUUAUCUAGAACCAAAAACACAGGCAGCAGAGGAAGACUUGCCCAUUCUGGUGAUGAUAUGUACCUACUGCAACUGUAGUAUUUGAAGGCAACACCAGCGGCCAUGUUCCCACAACGACGCUUCUUAUUAUUAGGGUACAUGACACCAAAACGAACAAGCACUACAAAUUAAGAAGAAGAAGAAGAAGAAACAAAAUAUUGUACGUACCAAGAAACCAACCCUAAGAUUUUCCUGGCUAUUUAUAAAAUAUACGAAGCGGGUAGAGAAGAGAUAACACAUUAGCACAAGUCCUCUUGUAUGUAUAGAACUCAAAAUCGUAAUAAUCUCAUAGUAAGUAAUUAGGCAAUAAUAAUAUAAUAUUGCAAUAUUUUCGUUUUCUUUUCCUACUUCUUAUUAUAAUAUAUUGUUCGUUUAUUUCCUCGUUCAAUGGCAAGAGAAUCAAGUACGGUAAAUAUUGGCUUUGUUUGGAAGGCAAAUAUUAAGUGAUAAAAUAUUAUAUUCUUGUUAAAUUGUGGCGAUUUGAUAUGAUUUUUCAAGGAUUUCGUGGAACUAUAAAUAACAAUUCUUUUGCAACCAGAAUUCUUAUACACUAAGUAAUCUUGGCCUCCAAGGAAUUAGGUCAGUCAACCAACCACUACUGUAUUUGUACUCACGUGCUCGGAUUAGGGCAUACCAUUUUUAGAGCCGGCAUUGGGGGUGGGCGAGAGGGGCCUUGGCCAUGGCCCUCCAAUUAAGGGGCCCUAAAUUUAUAUACAUAUAUACUAUUAUCCAAUUUAUUAUAAAUAAAUAAAGCAAUUAAAUUAAAUUUCUUCGUUUCCUCUAUCCAAAAAGUUUCUUCGUUACCCACGCAAAAGCAGAAACAUGUGCUUGACGAAGGCGACUCCUUCCCAGAAGGCGAUUCCUCUCCUAGUUAGUUUCUGCCUGGAAGAACUCUAUUUAAUCCACCCAUCUCUUAAUAAUCCACCACCAUAUUUUCUCAUUUCUCCCCAUCUCUCUUCAAUCCAUCCAUUAUUUUCAAUUUCUCUCAUUCUUUUUUUUCUCAUAUCAUAUUGUAACCCUAAGAAUCAAUCUCACACUAAAAAGCUCACAAAUUGUCUUGGAGAUUGAUGGUGACCAAGAGGAGAGGAACAUGAGAAAUUGAAAAGGUAAUAUGAUUUAUAAUUUAUAAUUUUAUUUUUUCAUACAUUUGUUCCUACCCAUCAAACUAUUUUUUCAAUUUCUAGAUUAUACAUGGACAAUGACUUUGAUGUUAAGAGACUUAGACUCUACUUUAUAAUGACCAUGUAGGAUUAUGCUCUAUAAUUAUUUAUUGUAAAAUCAUUAUUCAAGCGCUCUAUGCUAAGGGAAGGGCCUUAUUUAGUUUAUCACCUAGGGCCAGCCCUCGGUAUGCUUAGCAUAUUGCUCAUGUUUAUGAUCUGGUCCAUGUUUAUUAACUGUGCGAUCGACAAAUUAGACAGCAGCAGAUCUCGAGCAAAAGAAAAGACAUUGAAUAGUACGUGUUUAAAACUAUGAUGAUGUAUGAUCCAUGUAAACCAAAACCAAGCACUAACAAAAGCUGAGGGAAGGGAAGAAAACCAUUUCAUUUGAUCUCUCAACGUCAUUUGUGAGCCCCUCCAUAUGUUUGUGCAAAAUAUUGUAUGUAGAAACACAAAAUAUAGUUAAAAAUAUAAAAUGCCAAAUAAUAUUGCGCCAGGGCAUUAGAAGUACCAUUUAGCAUAUACAUUCUACUAAUACGAGAGAUAUCUAAAAUUUCAAUUGAUAUAUUACCGACCUUCAAAUUGACUUUUCAGUUCUGCAUUUAGGGAUUUUUGCAAAGCAAGUUUCAUGGAUAAUUCCUGCAUCUGCAGACCAACAAUAGCAAAUCAUAUUAAGCAGAUCAUCACAACCAAACAGACGACCACCUCCAAGAGAAUAAGAGUGCAUACAUUUGUUAGAAAACAAAAUGAGGACAGUAUAUUUGAAAGCAUGCACCUAUUAACACAUCGAAGAUGUUCAUAUUUGCUUCGGUUCUAACAGUAGCAUACUUCGGUGGCAAAAGCAGUAUUAUUUUAUUUAAAAGGACUCUGAUGCCCAAAUUUUUUGAAACAUUUAAUGCUUGCAAAUAAACAUCCACAGUCUAACCUAAUCCCCCUCCAAAACGUUGAAAAGAAAGACUUGUCAAAAUUUGCAUGUAGGGAAAUUGCAGAGUCCUCUAUUAAUUUCUCACACCCAGGAAAAUUCGACGAAUAAAAAAAUUGCAAGGAAAAACAAAAGAUGGUGGUUAUAGCUGAGGAUAAAAUUAACUCAAGAUACUGAAUGCACAUAAUAACAUCUAAAAUAUAGUGAACGCAACUGCAGCACCUUUCCCUCAGAAGCUUCCUUGCCUAUCUCCUCAUUUUCCUCUUGCCGGGUCCUACAUUUAGCCAUUAACUGCUUCCCCAUCUUGCUUGUAGGAGUAAAACUGAGAAGCUUCCUUUUUCUUUGCUUUCUCUAACUGAUAGGAAGAACAAACCAUGAACAAAAAGAUGAAGAAUGCUAAUGACUUUUGAAAAGAAACAUUCACUAACCUGUUCUUUCAAUGACUCCUCAGAGUUCUUCAGGGACUGAAGAUAAUUGGUGACCAAUUUAGGAUCUAGAAGGAUAGGUUGAAAUCACCUUUUUAAUGGACAUACAGAAGAUGCACCUAAAAAAAUGACGAGGAAUUGACUCUCUAAAACAUAUAAUUUUACAUAAUACAACAAGAAAGGGACCCUAAAAGGCUAGUGUUCAUUCAGAAAUGAAGAAUGCUGCUUUCAAAUCUCAGAUUUUGCAGCUUCAAGUUCCAUCUGAAACGAAGGGAAACAAUCCAUUAACAAAUAGAGAAUUUAACAAUGAAUCAAAAGCAUAUAACAAGUAAGACUCUAGUGAAUGUAUCAACAAGUGCCAAGAAAUUCUUCGAGUUUGUGAUGAAAUUACGUUCAUUUAAUAUUUAAUAUUUAUCACCACAACUAUAAGCAUCCAAUAUUUUACCUAGUUGACUAAAAGAAAUUCAGAAUUUAUAUUUCGAUAUCUGAAGAAAAGGUUGAACAACAAAUACAUACUUGGCAUGUUGCAAGAGUAUCUUUACAGUUUUGAAGACUGCAAAAAGAGUUGCAAUAAAAGUAUAAAAAUCAGGACCUAAAGAAAAUUCAAUGCAUUAUAAUUUCCAGUGAUAUAGAAGUUUAAUCAGUGAAGCAUAACCCAUUGUUCCUCAAUACGUUUCAUGAAGAGACAAAAUCAUUCCUGUUGCAACACCAGGAGCAGUUUCUUCAACUUUUGAGUUCCCUGCAUUGUACACAUAAUCAUUAGAUAAAAUGAACAAAGGAGAAUAUAUACCGCAGAACUCUCUUAUAUAAGCAAGAAUUUGUGGAAGCCAAUGCAUGCAUGUAACUUCUUAGAAAUAGAGACCGGUUUACACAUAACAAAAUCCUACUCUUUAACAUAUUUUCUGACAUUGGACAAAAACUGCCACAUCCCAAGUAUAACUCUUCUAAAAUCUGAGAUAACCUUCACAAAAGUCAUACAUUACCUUUUAACUUUUUUUUUCCCCACAAAUGCAACAUCAUGCUUAAAAUACGCAUCAUAUGAGCAUUCAUAAAUAUUUGGUUCUUCACCUAAACUAUUCUGUCGGAUUAACGCACUAAUUUACAACAAUAUUGUUGCAGAAAUAAAAAAUACACUUUUGACUUUACCAAUGUUUCAUACAUGUCCAACCAAGACAGUAAAGGAAGAACAGAUAUACACAAAGAGACACAUUUACAUAUAAUGGUAAAGGUUCAACAUUUCCUAGAUUAGAAUGCCCGUAAUGAAUAAGAAAAGACCUGUUUUGAGCCAAAAGGAAAAAAAAAAAUCCUCUUCUUCGUCUCAAGAUCCCCAAAGCUUCUCUUUUACCUAAAUCUAUUUUUUUUAAUAAAUUAAUUAAUUUCUUUUUAAUAAAAAGAAGGAUAAAGAAAUCAAUAAGAAAUAUUCAAUCGCACGUUGGAAGCCAGUGUUUGGUUGCAAGGAAAAUGAAGCAUACCACGCCGCCUGAAAUUGUGAGUUCCAAGAAAAUGGCCUCCGAAAUGAUCAUCCUGUAUUGAACAAAAACGCAUUCCAAUUAAUCACAAACUAAAGUCAAUAAAAACUGGGGCAAUAGCAAGGGCACCGGAGGCCUUACGUCAUCGAUACGAUUGUGGGUAGCCAAGCCAUGGAGCUUGAAUUCUCAAAACCCUAGAACUUGAUUUCGAAGAAUGAGAGGAUAGAGGCAACGACAUAAUAUUAUUAUUAUUACCGGCCAAAAUCAACCACUUUGGGGUUCAACUUUUCGGGAUUAUUGGUCUUAGGACAAGCCCAAUGAUGGGUGUGGUUGCAAACCUCCGUUGGGCUGAGGCAUUUAGAGCCCACUAUUGCAGCCUUAAGGCAGAUGGAACCCAAGCAAAACUUAGUGCAAUAUUAUCAAAUCAUCGAUCUUAACACAUCAGUAAAAUAAACUCCACAUAUCUAUUAGGAAAAGAAAAAAAAACAGGAACACAGUUGAUCACAUGGAUCAUCAUAAAAAAGAAAAAGAAAAAGAAAAAAAAGUGCAAUACAUUACGUUGAUGAAAUCACAUGAAAAGUUAAUUUAAUUGUAAGAAGCUAGCUAGCGGAGUCCAUUAAACUGGGGUACAACCCAGACUGCAGGCGGUAUAUAACCCUGCAAAUCAGAAUAAGGAUCUAAGGAGAAAUGUUGUGUGAUGGUUCCGCUCUCUAAAUUAAAAAUACCCAUAUCGCGACAUGGCAUGUCGUCAUAUAACGUAUCAUAUUGGAUAUGGUCUCCGUAAACAAAAGACGACGAUGAGAAAUCAUGGGUAUAAUAUAUGGAAUUUGACUGGCAUCCAUGAAAGUUGGAAGCCAAAACAGAAACGGAAUGAUUGUCACCUAUGAAAAAGGCAUCAUCUCCAAUGCUUUUUACCUCAACAUGUUGUAAAACAGAUCCGUCUUCGUCGUCGAACACCACUUUGUAAACCCUAAAGCUUUCAGUCAUAACAUUCUUGUAGGCCCCUUGUGUUUGUUUACAAACUCUUUCGAUAUGCAUUAAGUCUCCCUUGGUUGAUUCUACAAGAUAUCUUGUAGCUUUAUAACGGUGGAAGCCUGCGUCCCGAUGUGUAAGCAGCUUUAGUCGUCGUAUUCUUGAAGUAUAAGGGCUGACAUCUAAUGACCAAAUCUCUCCCUGAUGUCCAAGUAGGUGGACUUGGGUUUGGUAAGAUAUAACAUCAGUGACCGGAUGUGGGGGCUUAAUCCAAGUCCAACGUUUUUGGCUUCGGCCUCUUUUCAUACGAAUGAAAGCAAAUUCAUCAUAAAUGCCCACAAAAUGAUUAUCUUUACGUAACAGUGCUACAACCACAUAGUUUUCUGGAUUCAAAGCAGGGUCAGCAGAGAAGAUGACCUUUCUCACAUUGAAUUCGUGGAAGUAUUUGUCACGUUUCUUGGGUAUGAGUGUGACAUCCAAGAGAGGGAGAAGAAUGGGCGAUGCCGGAUUUCUGAAAGGGUCCCGGAGUGCUAUAAUCGGACCUUGGUCUGUGACGGAUUCUAUUGUGGCAAACCAACCGUGGCUAGAGCCACAUGACCUCUUUUUAAAAGGCACUUCCAAUCCAAUAUUGUUGUAGAUUUUGCCUUCAGCAAUGCUGUAUAAUGCUUUUCGGUGGUUAGUUUUCGUUAGGAGGAGGCUAUUCUUGCCGCCACCGCCGCCUUGACAUUCAUAUUCAUUAGGGAUCAAGAGCAUGGGAAGUAGGUUGUUAUGCCGCCACCGCUGUGUUGCUUGAUUAUAGUCUUUUGCAAGAGAACGCCAUUGCUUGCAGACGGCAGCAAAAGAAACAUGGUCAAUGGGCUCAAACAAAUUAUCUAGAACCAAAAACACAGGCAGCAGAGGAAGACUUGCCCAUUCUGGUGAUGAUAUGUACCUACUGCAACUGUAGUAUUUGAAGGCAACACCAGCGGCCAUGUUCCCACAACGACGCUUCUUAUUAUUAGGGUACAUGACACCAAAACGAACAAGCACUACAAAUUAAGAAGAAGAAGAAGAAGAAACAAAAUAUUGUACGUACCAAGAAACCAACCCUAAGAUUUUCCUGGCUAUUUAUAAAAUAUACGAAGCGGGUAGAGAAGAGAUAACACAUUAGCACAAGUCCUCUUGUAUGUAUAGAACUCAAAAUCGUAAUAAUCUCAUAGUAAGUAAUUAGGCAAUAAUAAUAUAAUAUUGCAAUAUUUUCGUUUUCUUUUCCUACUUCUUAUUAUAAUAUAUUGUUCGUUUAUUUCCUCGUUCAAUGGCAAGAGAAUCAAGUACGUACGGUAAAUAUUGGCUUUAUUUGGAAGGCAAAUAUUAAGUGAUAAAAUAUUAUAUUCUUGUUAAAUUAUGGCGAUUUGAUAUGAUUUUUCAAGGAUUUCGUGGAACUAUAAAUAACAAUUCUUUUGCAACCAGAAUUCUUAUACACUAAGUAAUCUUGGCCUCCAAGGAAUUAGGUCAGUCAACCAACCACUACUGUAUUUGUACUCACGUGCUCGGAUUAGGGCAUACCAUGGCAUUGGGGGUGGGCGAGAGGGGCCUUAGCCAUGGGCCUCCAAUUAAGGGCCCCUAAAUUUAUAUACAUAUAUACUAUUAUCCAAUUUAUUAUAAAUAAAUAAAGCAAUUAAAUUAAAUUUCUUCGUUUCCCCUUCCCAAAAAGUUUCUUCCUUUUCGCAAAAACAGAAACAUGUGCUUGACGAAGGCGACUCCUUCUCAAAGUCGAUAAAUAAUUCAAAAGUGCAUGUCAGAGUUUGAAUUUCAUAAUUUGAUUUUUGGGUCAAAUAUUGAAUGGCCCAUUUUAGCGCGCUUUUAUAAUUUUAACGGGCUUAAGAAUGGCCCCACCAGUACAAUGCACAAAAUUAAGCCCAAGUCCAUCUUCAUACCCGCGUUACACAGACCCGGUUAAACAAAACCCGAUUCGAGUCCGAGUCUCAAUGACACAGAGCCCUAAACUCCCACGAUGCUCUUGUUCGGGGCGAAAGCUUUCAGUAGUGGAUUUUACCAUGACCUGAAUACUGGUUGGUACUAUAGCAUGCGAGACAGUUUUCUUCCCUCUCGCCAAGUACCUCUUUCAUUCUCUUCAUUUUGGUGUUUUGAAAUCUAUUAUCUCUUUGAUAUUAGGUGGAGUGAUUUCUAGUUUGGUUGGAAAAUAUUAUUUUCAGGCUGAUAAUUUGGAAACAUAUGAAACCCAAGUGAGUGCUUCUCAGAAUCCCAUUCGAGAAGAGCUUUUUGCACAUGAAAAUGAAUGCAUAGUCUUAUAGAAUAGAAGCAGUUCCUCAGAAACCCUCAUUGCAAUUCCUAUUGUUUUUUUGUGUCAAGUGUUCUGCCCAUUAUCCUCAUCUCUGGAUUGAAACUACAAAUUUGAUGAUAUUCCAAAGUUUUAGACAUUUAAUUUUGUACUUGUUCAAAGCAGUGAACUGCUUCUUUUGUAAACCGACAACACAGAGUGCUGCAGCAGCAAUGAUCUGCCUGAAAAUCCCCCUCCCACCUCAGAAUGGUGCCCUGGUUCUCGCAUAUACCUCUGGAGAACGUGUCUUAUUUAUACUUUUGCUAUAUAUCUAUAUUAUGCUUCUUCUAAUUGUUUGUACCCAGUCAGAGCCGACCCCCGCGGACCGCAAAAAGGAACGGCGGACGGAAAAAAGGACCAACACUUAUCUUUCUCCUUUGCUGCCUCUGCUUCUUCGUCCUCCUCUUUUUCCUUUGUUGCCUCAGUGCCUCCUCUUCUACCUUCUCUUUGUCCUCUUCUUCUUCCUUCUUCUUCUCGUUUUUCUCCUUUGGUGCCUCGGCUUCUUGUUCUUGCUCUGUUUUUGUCACCUUCUUCUCCAGUGCCUCCUCCUUUUUCUCCUCAUCAAUCUUCCUUUUCAAUGCCUCUUCCUUCUCAGUUCUCAGCUCACUUAGCAAUCUUUUGGCAUUUGUCCUUUCAGUGCUUUCCACCUUACGCGUAGAAGAACCAGCAGCAGCCUUUGCUUUCUCCUCCUCCUCCUUCUCCAGAUAAGCAAUAACGAGAUUUCUAAUUGCUCUUUGAGUCAGUGGUAUGCCCAGACUUGUGUCACAUCCAUACUGACACAUCAACAUCAUCUGUUCCUCCUGGUCAAUGUCUACAGAGCCACUGACUAACCCAACAAUCAUACCUCGAAAUCCAAUAUUGUCCCUGAGAUAAGAGACAAUUUCCUGCAAUGCAAAAACAAAACAAACCAACCUUCUUCAUUUUCUUAAUCUAUUAAUAAAUUAAAUUGACACCACAAUAGUUGGAAUCAAUGUUUACCUUGCUCAACUCAUAGCCCACUACUACAACCACGUCUUCCCGGCAUCCUUUCCAAAACCGCUUGAAAAAUUCAUGUCUUGAUAUAUCUUCAGGAAUAACAGUCGGAGUCCCGGGGAUAUCGAACAUUUCUGCAUUGCCACCACCUAUAACUACAAUACGAACACACCGGAAGCAAAGAAAACCAUCUUCAUAUGGCCCUAGACCACCUAUGAAGAAAAAGAAGAAAAGACAGAAAAAGUCAAUUAAAUAAUAAUAAUAUGUUAAUAAAUUUACAAAAGAAAUCUUUCUUUUCUUCUCUUACCCGCGGAAUUACUGAGUUGCCAAACAAACUUGAAAGGGUCGGUGACGGUGGCCACCAGCACACCCGGACGCAGGGGGUCCUCGCCAACAUCUCUCAACACGUUACAUCCAUUCGUCUUUGCAAAAUCCCUUGCUGCUCUGAUGUCAGUGGAGUUGUGUAAAUUCAACUGAAGACAAGUAUUCCUGGUUUCAAACAGAGAAAAUAAUUAGGAUUGUUAAUGAAAUAAACUUUUGGCUUAGAGAAAAAAAAAUUGAAACAAACUUAUAAAACAUAAAUAAAAUAUAUGUAUACUUACAUAAGCAUGUCAUCGUCAGUUAUUAAUAAAUCACUUGAACCAAGUGUGAUUCGAUAACAAUGAAUAAGGUCCUCCUCGUCCUCUUGCCGCGGAAUGCUGUUGUAGUGCAAAGUCUUUCCUCCGAAGUAAUUACAAUAACAGUUGGUCGCGUUCGUAGCCUGGUUUGCUGGCACAAAAACUUUGGGUAUCAUGCUAAUCACUUUAAUUUCAGAGUCCAGAUGGUCAACAUUGGGCCCUGCCUCCAGAACCGGCCUUUCACAGUCUAUGACAAAUAAUAAAUUAAUUAAAACAUUUUUUUUUAUAAACAAUUAAAAUUAAUAAAACAAUUGAAAAUAUGCAAAUAAAUAUUCAAAAUUAUAAACGAUCCUAUGAGUCUAUGACAAAUAACAAAUUAAUUAAAAACUUUUUUUUAUUGAUUUUAAAAUUAUAAAACAAUUGAAAAUUUGCAAAUAAAUAUUCAAAGUUAUAAGCGAUACUAUGAUUAAUUAAAAACUUUUUUAUUUUAAAAUUAAUAAAAAAAUAUAUGCAAAAAUAUAUUCAAAAUUAUAAGCAUAUGACAAAUAAUAAAUUAAUUAAAUACUUUUUAAAAUUUAAAAUUAAUAAAAAAAAUUGAAAAUAUGCAAAUAGAUAUUCAAAGUCAUAAGCGAUCUGCGAUCCUAUGAAAAAUAAUAAAUUAAUUAACAAAUUAUUUUUAAAUUAAUAACACAAUUGAAAAUGCAAAUAAAUAUUCAAAAUUAUAAUCGAUCAUAUGAGUCUAUGACAAAUAAUAAAUUAAUUAAAAACUUUUUUAAUUUGAAAACUAAUAAAACAAUUGAAAAAAUAUGCAAAUAAAUAUACAAAAUUAUAAGCCAUCCUAUGACAAUUAAUAAAUUAAUUAAAAACUCUUUUAAAAAUAAUAACAAAACUAUUCAAAAUAUUCAAAAUUAUAAGCGAUAGCUUAUCCGAUCUUACAAAACGCAAUAGGAUUGCUUACUAUUGGUGAAUUGCCAGAAAAUUCCAUGCUCAUCUUUAACAUUCCAUUCACAAUGCUCGGCCAUCGGUGUAAAUUGCUCAGUGUUCAGAAUCUUCUUAGCGAACUGUUCCGGAUCGGAGCACCGAAGCCGGAGACACAGCAUCGGAGGCGAUAGGUCUGUCCGGGAGCGGGCCGGACAAGUGAUGAUAAGGAGAUCUGAACCUAUCAGUAUCUCAGCCAUCUCUGGAUCAUUGCUCACGAUCUUAGCACCAAAAACUUGCCGGUAGAAGCGUGCGGCAGUGGUGACCUCCGACGGAGCCACCACAAGCAGUGGCGUCAGCUCCAUUGAAUAGAAGCGGAGCUAAAUGUGGAAGAGGAAUGAGACAGAGAGCUGAUUGCAGAAAUGAGAGAGAGAGAGAGAGCUGAUUGGGGAGAGAAAUGAGAGAGAGAUGAGAGAGAGCAGAAUUUCAAAAAUCAAGGCGCGGUUUGGGUUUAUAUAGCAGAAGGGAAGCGGUAGUUUCAAAAAUUACAAGCGUGGCUUUGUUCAUAUAACGGAACAGAAGGGAAGCGCCAGAGUUAGUUAUGUUCUGGAGUCGGAUUUCAUUUUGGGUUAAUUUUUAAUUCAGGUCCGUCCGAGUUUGUUAUUGAUGAUUGAUUUUGGUUUAAUAUUUAUUUCAGGUCCGAGUUAAUUAUUGAUGAUUAGUGAAUGAAUGGGAAUGCAAGGCACCAUGUUGAGUUUGGAGCCGAUGGUUUGCCGAGCCCACGAAUACUUUCGAUGAGUAUGAUACAGAAUACUCUUUUAUUGAUGAUGCUGAGUUGGUAUUUGCAUUUAUUCAUUAAUCUGUGUUGGCCAUUGUACUGAUUUAAUUGGUGGCAUUUUAUAUUUAUGGAUUUGCUAAUGCUACUUCUUUAUGUUUUGCGCAGGAUGAGUAUUUUAAAGUUGACAAUUCAGCAAUAAAACAUGAUGGAUUCUUUGUUAACAGGGGAAAACUGGAACGCAUGUGAGUUUCCUUCAAUCUUUUACCUGAUUGUAUUUAUGUAUAGUUUUUUUCCUUAAUUGCAUAGUCUAUACAUACAAGACUUUAUUCACUUAAUUUCUUCUUUGAUUUGGUACUGAAUAAGGUCAUAUUAUUUCCUUUCGAGUGGCCACCAUGAUUCGUGUAUGGCCUAUGGAAGUCUCGACUUUAACACGGUUUCUCUUUUGAGUACGUAAAAGUGAUGGUAAAAUAAAACCAUGUGUGUUAUUUGACAGAACAGAUGGAAUGUCAAAUGUUCUCUUCCUUGAUCUACAUGUGAUUACUGCCUGUAGAUAUAUGUGGACUGUAUGUUGUGUGUUCCAGUAGGGAUUUGAAGGCAUAGACUUUGUAUAAUUUUCUUUGUCUCUUUCCCUGGUUGAUCAGUGGUAUCAGCUGUUUCUGUUGGACCCAUUUGCUUGUGUUUAAAUAAUUUGAACAUGAGAAGCUAUGCUUGGUUUUUGCUAUGUAAUACGUCAAUGGAGGAAUUGAGUUUGCCUAAUCAUUGAAAUCAGUUUCAGUUUCAUACUUUGGUUUUGACAUUGUGGUCUUUUAUUAGUUAAUUUUUGACAUUUUCUUCAUUUAUUGAAUUUUUUUUUUACAUGGAUAGCGUUACUGGUAAGACAGCAGCAGCAGCAGCAAAGAUUACACUGACACUAGUGAAGAACUCAUCUGCUCCCAUUAUAACCACCGAACACCGUGAAGAUGUGAAAUUUCAGAACUAGUUGGGUGGACAUUCAUCCAGGAAGAAGUCUACUGAUUCUAAAACAAUUCUGGAUCCUUCUCUUUUGAAAGUUUCUGAGGGAGACGCUGAUGCACUGCAAAAAGCGGAGGUUAAGGCUAUUAACAAGCAGAACGCAGGAGUCCUGUUGUCGAAGGACCCAAGUAACAGGUUUGCAUUUAUAUCUCAGGCAUAUAAACAGGAGAUGUUUAAAUGAAAAUGUAACUUGGGCGUUUUCAAUUGUUGAAACUGUACUCUUGUUAAGUUCAAUUGAUUAAUUAGCCGGAGUAAAGCUUUCAAGUUUUACCUGGGACACAAGCAAUGCUACAUAAGAAGUAACAGUCAACAUCCAAGGGAGAUGGUUUCAGCCAUGAUCAUGAAUGCCCUCCUAACCAUUGAUAACCUCGUGCUAUCAGACUAUCAGUUUUAUGUUUACGUGAAAAAUACACUAGUCCUGUGUGUACCUGAAUAUGUUAAACUAUUAAUCUAUUAUCUGCUUAUACUCUUAUAUAUGCACGUGCAGCAUGGUAUGGUGCACCAACCAAUUGCAGUUUUAUUGUAGCCAUAUUUAGUUUUAUUCCGUUUAAGAUGUUGAGGAGUAUAUGCAUUUCCCUGAUAGUUUGUCUCCGGCAUGAAAGAUAUGCAUAUAGGGAUGGAGCUGCUGAUAGAAGAGCUUUAUUUGUUUAUUUAUUUAGUUUUGCAGGCGCUUCAAAUUUGGGGCCUUGCUCAGCUUUUGUUCCUCUGGUUUGUAUGUGUGCAGGGGGAGGCACUUGGCAAAAGUACAAAGGGAUUAGCUGAACCUAUUCAAGCACACAGCAACAUUGGUAAUGCUCGAGGCAGGCUUUGAGAAUGUGGUGAGGGAGGCAGUGCAAUGGAAAUAACCUGUUGUUCAGCACCUGGUGCAAGCAAGCAAAUGUCGUUGAACCAAAGCUAAAGGCACCUGGUGCAUUCACAUGGGAUUUUCUACUUAAGUCAAUUAUUCUUGAAUCAAAUAUUGGUUUUCGCAAAAUUUGAUUAGAUGAAUGCACUUCUGUCCAUUUUCAAAUAACAACUUAAUUGACCGAUUAGUCAUAUGCGUGUAAAGUCAGCACUACACAUAUCAUGCAAGACUGUUUUGUUAGAAAGAAAAACACACUUGAAAAACAGAUUGAUCUUGCCAAUAACAAAUCUGAUUCUCAUUGGCUCAAGUACAAAUUUAUUUCAUUUGCUCAGCUCAUAACAAGAAAUCAACCACGGUUGAUGUUGAAGGGUUAGGCCACGGCACUUGGACUGUGACCAUCUUAUCAACAAAAUCAAACUUUACCUCCUCUCCAUCAAUCUUACAAGCACUUGGCCUUUCAGAAGCAAACACACUCAUUUCCCCACAACCCUUCACUCCAAUUCUCACCAAAUUUGAGGAGUUUUCUUCAUCCUCAAAUUCCAGCGACUGAAUUGCACCACCCGUGUUGAGCAUGUUCACCAACCCAAUUGGAGCAAAUUGGAUAAACUUCUUUGGCAAAACCCUCACUGGAGAAACAGUGAGGAGCUUAAAAUCGAAAGGCUGAAGCGAAAUCUCUACCUUCUCUGAAAGCUUCAAGAGCUUCAGCUUCUUUUGCUGGUGCAUGUACACAGCAAAUAUGUUCAUUCCUUUGAUUGAAAUUGGGCUCUUCCCAUUGUUCCACUCUAUAUCUUUUGGGCCAGACAAGCAGGUCAAAGGCUUUGAGCACUCAGGGGCACUUAUGUUGCGCCUGGAUUUGGGGCACCAUCCUCCUCCUUGGCAAUUAAAUAAUCCCAAUGCUCCAGUGUACUGUGUACUGGCACAAAAUCAUACAAAAAGAUUGAAUUAGCACUAUCACUCAAAAGGUUAUCUUACUUUUAUUCUAUUUUAUAAUUCACUACCACUCACGAUAGCAUUUCUUAAUCUUACUUUGUUUAGGUUCCAAAUUUUGAGCAUGGUUUUCCCAUCAUGCACAGGGUCUUCAAAGAGGCAAUCCCUAGUAGGAAGAGCAUAGUGCUGGCAUCGCAAUACAGAGCCAUCUGGCAACACAAGGCUCUUAAGAAGCUUGAAGUUGUGCUUCCCAACAGAGUCACUGAUGUAGAUUGGGCCUCCGGAUAUAGCUCUUGAUGCAGCGUGGAAUUCAGCACAUGGGUGUAUGAUGUUGCCCAUCCACAGGCUGCUGUAGGCACAAUGCACUGCGUGACACCCUUGCAGCCAAUACGUCCCAUCUGCUACCCCCGUGGUCUUAGACCAGAAAUCAUCCCCUACGUAAAUGUGAAGAAAUUAAUACACGUGUGUACUACUGAUGCUAGAAUAUAACUUGUAAAAGACGUACCGACACAUCCAAGGUACAUGAAGUCAUUGCAGUGCUGCAUGCUGGCAAUUACUCCAUUGCCAUUGAAAUGCUUCUUCAUGGAAUCAGUCAGUGCCUUGUAAUAAGCUUUAGCCAGCUCAACUCGACCACCAAACUCCUCGAAUAGCAUCUCAAGCAACUGCAACCAACCAUGGCAUGAAAAUGUUUCAGGAGGGUGGAUGAAGUAAGUUCUAGAGUGCACACAUAACAAUACUUUUAAUUAAUAAAUAAUUUCAAGCUUCUCUUUUUACCUAAAUCUAUUUUUUUUAAUAAAUUUAUUUAUUUAUUUUUAAUAAAAAGAAGGAUAAAGAAAUCAAUAAGAAAUAUUCAAUCGCACGUUGGAAGCCAGUGUUUGGUUGCAAGGAAAAUGAAGCAUACCACGCCGCCUGAAAUUGUGAGUUCCAAGAAAAUGGCCUCCGAAAUGAUCAUCCUGUAUUGAACAAAAACGCAUUCCAAUUAAUCACAAACGAAAGUCAAUAAAAACUGGGGCAAUAGCAAGGGCACCGGAGGCCUUACGUCAUCGAUACGAUUGUGGGUAGCCAAGCCAUGGAGCUUGAAUUCUCAAAACCCUAGAACUUGAUUUCGAAGAAUGAGAGGAUAGAGGCAACGACAUAAUAUUAUUAUUAUUACCGGCCAAAAUCAACCACUUUGGGGUUCAACUUUUCGGGAUUAUUGGUCUUAGGACAAGCCCAAUGAUGGGUGUGGUUGCAAACCUCCGUUGGGCUGAGGCAUUUAGAGCCCACUAUUGCAGCCUUAAGGCAGAUGGAACCCAAGCAAAACUUAGUGCAAUAUUAUCAAAUCAUCGAUCUUAACACAUCAGUAAAAUAAACUCCACAUAUCUAUUAGGAAAAGAAAAAAAAACAGGAACACAGUUGAUCACAUGGAUCAUCAUAAAAAAGAAAAAGAAAAAGAAAAAAAAGUGCAAUACAUUACGUUGAUGAAAUCACAUGAAAAGUUAAUUUAAUUGUAAGAAGCUAGCUAGCGGAGUCCAUUAAACUGGGGUACAACCCAGACUGCAGGCGGUAUAUAACCCUGCAAAUCAGAAUAAGGAUCUAAGGAGAAAUGUUGUGUGAUGGUUCCGCUCUCUAAAUUAAAAAUACCCAUAUCGCGACAUGGCAUGUCGUCAUAUAGCGUAUCAUAUUGGAUAUGGUCUCCGUAAACAAAAGACGACGAUGAGAAAUCAUGGGUAUAAUAUAUGGAAUUUGACUGGCAUCCAUGAAAGUUGGAAGCCAAAACAGAGACGGAAUGAUUGUCACCUAUGAAAAAGGCAUCAUCUCCAAUGCUUUUUACCUCAACAUGUUGUAAAACAGAUCCGUCUUCGUCGUCGAACACCACUUUGUAAACCCUAAAGCUUUCAGUCAUAACAUUCUUGUAGGCCCCUUGUGUUUGUUUACAAACUCUUUCGAUAUGCAUUAAGUCUCCCUUGGUUGAUUCUACAAGAUAUCUUGUAGCUUUAUAACGGUGGAAGCCUGCGUCCCGAUGUGUAAGCAGCUUUAGUCGUCGUAUUCUUGAAGUAUAAGGGCUGACAUCUAAUGACCAAAUCUCUCCCUGAUGUCCAAGUAGGUGGACUUGGGUUUGGUAAGAUAUAACAUCAGUGACCGGAAGUGGGGGCUUAAUCCAAGUCCAACGUUUUUGGCUUAGGCCUCUUUUCAUAUGAAUGAAAGCAAAUUCAUCAUAAAUACCCACAAAAUGAUUAGCUUUACGUAACAGUGCUACAACCACAUAGUUAUCUGGAUUCAAAGCAGGGUCAGCAGAGAAGAUGACCUUUCUCACAUUGAAUUCGUGGAAGUAUUUGUCACGUUUCUUGGGUAUGACAUCCAAGAGAGGGAGAAGAAUGGGCGAUGCCGGAUUUCUGAAAGGGUCCCGGAGUGCUAUAAUCGGACCUUGGUCUGUGACGGAUUCUACUGUGGCAAACCAACCGUGGCUAGACCCACAAGACCUCUUUUUAAAAGGCACUUCCAAUCCAAUAUUGUUGUAGAUUUUGCCUUCAGCAAUGCUGUAUAAUGCUUUUCGGUGGUUCGUUUUCGUUAGGAGGCGGCUAUUCUUGCCGCCGUCGCCUUGGCAUUCAUAUUCAUUAGGGAUCAAGAGCAUGGGAAGUAGGUUGUUAUGCCGCCACCGCUGUGUUGCUUGAUUAUAGUCUUUUGCAAGAGAACGCCAUUGCUUGCAGACGGCAGCAAAAGAAACAUGGUCAAUGGGCUCAAACAAAUUAUCUAGAACCAAAAACACAGGCAGCAGAGGAAGACUUGCCCAUUCUGGUGAUGAUAUGUACCUACUGCAACUGUAGUAUUUGAAGGCAACACCAGCGGCCAUGUUCCCACAACGACGCUUCUUAUUAUUAGGGUACAUGACACCAAAACGAACAAGCACUACAAAUUAAGAAGAAGAAGAAGAAGAAACAAAAUAUUGUACGUACCAAGAAACCAACCCUAAGAUUUUCCUGGCUAUUUAUAAAAUAUACGAAGCGGGUAGAGAAGAGAUAACACAUUAGCACAAGUCCUCUUGUAUGUAUAGAACUCAAAAUCGUAAUAAUCUCAUAGUAAGUAAUGAGGCAAUAAUAAUAUAAUAUUGCAAUAUUUUCGUUUUCUUUUCCUACUUUUUAUUAUAAUAUAUUGUUCGUUUAUUUCCUCGUUCAAUGGCAAGAGAAUCAAGUACGGUAAAUAUUGGCUUUGUUUGGAAGGCAAAUAUUAAGUGAUAAAAUAUUAUAUUCUUGUUAAAUUAUGGCGAUUUGAUAUGAUUUUUCAAGGAUUUGGUGGAACUAUAAAUAACAAUUCUUUUGCAACCAGAAUUCUUAUACACUAAGUAAUCUUGGCCUCCAAGGAAUUAGGUCAGUCAACCAACCACUACUGUAUUUGUACUCACGUGCUCGGAUUAGGGCAUACCAUGGCAUUGGGGGUGGGCGAGAGGGGCCUUGGGCAUGGCCCUCCAAUUAAGGGGCCCUAAAUUUAUAUGCAUAUAUACUAUUAUCCAAUUUAUUAUAAAUAAAUAAAGCAAUUAAAUUAAAUUUCUUCGUUUCCUCUUCCCAAAAAGUUUCUUCAACAUGUGCUUGACAAAUGCGACUCCUUCCCAGAAGGCGAUUCCUCUACUAGUUAGUUUCUCCAAAGAAGAACUCUAUUUAAUCCACCCAUCUCUUAUAUAAGCAAGAAUUUGUGGUGAAUGUAUCAAAUAGAGAAUUUAACAAUGAAUCAAAAGCAUAUAACAAGUAAGACUCUAGUGAAUGUAUCAACAAGUGCCAAGAAAUUCUUCGAGUUUGUGAUGAAAUUACGUUCAUUUAAUAUUUAAUAUUUAUCACCACAACUAUAAGCAUCCAAUAUUUUACCUAGUUGACUAAAAGAAAUUCAGAAUUUAUAUUUCGAUAUCUGAAGAAAAGGUUGAACAACAAAUACAUACUUGGCAUGUUGCAAGAGUAUCUUUACAGUUUUGAAGACUGCAAAAAGAGUUGCAAUAAAAGUAUAAAAAUCAGGACCUAAAGAAAAUUCAAUGCAUUAUAAUUUCCAGUGAUAUAGAAGUUUAAUCAGUGAAGCAUAACCCAUUGUUCCUCAAUACGUUUCAUGAAGAGACAAAAUCAUUCCUGUUGCAACACCAGGAGCAGUUUCUUCAACUUUUGAGUUCCCUGCAUUGUACACAUAAUCAUUAGAUAAAAUGAACAAAGGAGAAUAUAUACCGCAGAACUCUCUUAUAUAAGCAAGAAUUUGUGGAAGCCAAUGCAUGCAUGUAACUUCUUAGAAAUAGCGACCCGUUUACACAAUAAAAUCCUACUCUUUAACAUAACUUUUUGACAUUGGACAACAACUUCUUGUUCUUUACAAGAAAAAGAAGAUUAUUGAGGACCCCAAAGAUCUUACCUUCUAGUCUCUGACGUGUCCUGGCACCAACGGAUGUCUCUUGUCUGUCACAUUGUCGGGGAUUUUCCUCGAUUUGAUCCUGUCAGUCAUAUCUCUAUGAUUGUUAAUUAGUUAGCUUUGGCGGGAUACUUGGUCAAUUUAAUGAAGAAUGGGAAAAGAAUUUUGAAUACAAAUGCAUAUUGAGUUUUAGUUUUAGUUUGUCAAAGGUUGUCAUGAAUUCCGGCUGGCCGUUGUUUAUUGUAUCAGUCGUUUUGUUUUCGUUUCUUAUGUUGGCUAUAGCAUGAAAACCCUAAACCCUAAACCCUAUAGGCUUUACAAGACUUGGGCACCAAGGCUACUUGAUCCAAAAGUAAACCAAUUAAUUAUAAAAUCACACAUAAAUAAUAAAAGAUAUCAUAAAACUACCUAAAUAAGAAAAU
RNAcentral lists this long non-coding RNA (36399 nucleotides) under Prunus persica (peach). RNAcentral's name for it is "long non-coding RNA (PPER_LNC005490)". Lineage: Eukaryota; Viridiplantae; Streptophyta; Magnoliopsida; Rosales; Rosaceae. The record is from RNAcentral.